RNAcentral lists this ribosomal RNA (403 nucleotides) under uncultured bacterium. RNAcentral's name for it is "partial 16S ribosomal RNA". It matches the Rfam family "Bacterial small subunit ribosomal RNA", at positions 28 to 526 of the family's 1533-position model. The record is from RNAcentral.
GACGAACGCUGGCGGCGUGCCUAAUACAUGCAAGUCGAACGCAGUGGGGACGGGUGAGUAACACGUGGGUAGCCUCCCAUCAGAGGGGAUAACACUUGGAAACAGGUGCUAAACCGAUACUGCUGGAUGGACCCGCGGUGGAGUAGCUAGUUGGUGGGGUAACGGCUCACCAAGGCCACGAUGCAUAGCCGGCCUGAGAGGGGGAUCGGCCACACUGGGACUGAGACACGGCCCAGACUCCUACGGGAGGCAGCAGUGGGGAAUAUUGCACAAUGGGCGAAAGCCUGAUGCAGCCAUGCCGCGUGUAUGAAGAAGGCCUUCGGGUUGUAAAGUACUUUUGGCGGGGAGGCGGUACCUGCAGAAGAAGCACCGGCUAACUCCGUGCCAGCAGCCGCGGUAAUUC